This 253-nucleotide ribosomal RNA is filed under the name uncultured bacterium. RNAcentral describes it as "partial 16S ribosomal RNA". It matches the Rfam family "Bacterial small subunit ribosomal RNA", at positions 524 to 776 of the family's 1533-position model. The record is from RNAcentral.
UACGUAGGGGGCAAGCGUUGUCCGGAUUUAUUGGGCGUAAAGAGCGUGUAGGCGGCCAGGUAGGUCCGUUGUGAAAACUCGAGGCUCAACCUCGAGACGUCGAUGGAAACCAUCUGGCUAGAGUCCGGAAGAGGAGAGUGGAAUUCCUGGUGUAGCGGUGAAAUGCGCAGAUAUCAGGAGGAACACCAAUUGCGAAGGCAGCUCGCUGGGACGUUACUGACGCUGAGACGCGAAAGCGUGGGGAGCAAACAGG